RNAcentral lists this microRNA (22 nucleotides) under Columba livia (rock pigeon). RNAcentral describes it as "cli-miR-9639-3p". The record is from miRBase by way of RNAcentral. Lineage: Eukaryota; Metazoa; Chordata; Aves; Columbiformes; Columbidae.
CUGCUGAGCUCACGGCACCGAC